AGACAAUAGAUACCCAGGUAGUCCACGCCGUAAACGAUGAGUGCUAAGUGUUAGAGGGUUUCCGCCCUUUAGUGCUGCAGCUAACGCAUUAAGCACUCCGCCUGGGGAGUACGGCCGCAAGGCUGAAACUCAAAGGAAUUGACGGGGGCCCGCACAAGCGGUGGAGCAUGUGGUUUAAUUCGAAGCAACGCGAAGAACCUUACCAGGUCUUGACAUCCUCUGACACUCCUAGAGAUAGGACGUUCCCCUUCGGGGGACAGAAUGACAGGUGGUGCAUGGUUGUCGUCAGCUCGUGUCGUGAGAUGUUGGGUUAAGUCCCGCAACGAGCGCAACCCUUGUUCUUAGUUGCCAGCAUUCAGUUGGGCACUCUAAGGAGACUGCCGGUGACAAACCGGAGGAAGGUGGGGAUGACGUCAAAUCAUCAUGCCCCUUAUGACCUGGGCUACACACGUGCUACAAUGGAUGGUACAAAGGGCAGCAAAGCCGCGAGGCCUAGCCAAUCCCAUAAAACCAUUCUCAGUUCGGAUUGUA
This 531-nucleotide ribosomal RNA is filed under the name uncultured bacterium. RNAcentral's name for it is "bacterial SSU rRNA". It matches the Rfam family "Bacterial small subunit ribosomal RNA", at positions 774 to 1302 of the family's 1533-position model. The record is from RNAcentral.